RNAcentral lists this ribosomal RNA (385 nucleotides) under uncultured bacterium. Its description in RNAcentral is "bacterial SSU rRNA". It matches the Rfam family "Bacterial small subunit ribosomal RNA", at positions 366 to 768 of the family's 1533-position model. The record is from RNAcentral.
GAGCAACGAGCGCAACCCUGAUCUAGCCAUGCCGCGUGAUCGAUGAAGGCCUUAGGGUUGUAAAGAUCUUUCAGUGGGGAAGAUAAUGACGGUACCCACAGAAGAAGCCCCGGCUAACUCCGUGCCAGCAGCCGCGGUAAUACGGAGGGGGCUAGCGUUGUUCGGAAUUACUGGGCGUAAAGCGCACGUAGGCGGAUCGGAAAGUUGGGGGUGAAAUCCCGGGGCUCAACCCCGGAACUGCCUUCAAAACUCCCGGUCUUGAGUUCGAGAGAGGUGAGUGGAAUUCCGAGUGUAGAGGUGAAAUUCGUAGAUAUUCGGAGGAACACCAGUGGCGAAGGCGGCUCACUGGCUCGAUACUGACGCUGAGGUGCGAAAGUGUGGGGAG